GAGGACAAAGAAUUAAAAAUACAAGAGUUUGUUAUACAAAUUACACAAUCCAAACAACAUCUCACCACAUCUAGACAAAAACACUAUCUAUAAAGUACUACAUCUCAAACACAUUCGAAGGUGAGAACACUAAGAAUGAAAAUUAUAUACAAAACUAAUAUCAUUAGCUCUAAACCACAUCCAAGAAAUCAAUUGCAAACUCUCAACUACUAAAAAAAUAUUACACUUAUCGUGAUUAAAAAUAAACCAAUUACGAGAUUUCUACAUGUACCACCCAAGUCAACCAAAUGACGUCAAUUUUAGUUUGGAUGCCUCGUCCACUAUGAUCAAGACCGAAAACAUGAACUGCAUGAGCUUGAACAUCUUUAUGUAACACACAACACAACCCACCACACAAAACUUUGAAUCAAUAUGAUUUGCUCCUUCUAAGCAAACUGUCUUUUGUAAAUCCAUUUAUUCCACACAAAAGAAUAUAGUGGAUACACCUCGAUGUGUGUUGAUCUUGAUAAAAAGUUGCACACCUCCAUCACAACGUAAGUGCCAAUAGUUACACUUCCACAUGUCAAUAGUAUUCCCCUGAAAAACUACAUUAUCCAACAACAAAACACAUUUCUCACCAACUGAUUUUCCCACUCAAACAAUUCCCUGCACCACCCCAUCAUCCUCAUCACACAUAUUUGCCACCAUAAUAUUUUUAACAGAUGUCAAAUGAUACAGUCUUCUAAAUAUAUCAUGCAAUAUACCUCCCUCUACCCAUAGGUCCUCCCAAAACAAUGUUUCAUCUCCAUUCCCCACAACUUUUCUAACAGUAUCCACAAACCAUCUAUUGUAAUCCUUAUUUCUCGCCCCUCUAACAUAGAAAAUAUAAUCUACCACCACAUUGAAUUCCUAUAAGAACCACCACACAUUAAAUCAGAAACCCUCAUUCGCAUUCCUCCCCCACCAACAUAAUUUAUCUAACAUAGCUAAAUUAAAGGAUUUUAAAUUGUGCACUCCUAACUCACAUUUCUCUCAACUCUGACACGCCAUAUCUCAUUUAACCUAGUGAAUCUUCCUCGCUUCCUCAGUCUCACCCCAUAAAGAGAUUUAAAAAGAGAUUCAAUUUUAGAAAUGAUACCUAAAUGAUUGACUUGAUAUCAUGCACAUUCACCCUAUAGAUAGAUUAUGACAAUAGAGACAAUACAACAUUAAUGAGAACAAGAAGACCCCUAUAGAUAGAUUACGUUUUCUCCACCCAAACACUUGGGCACAAAUAAUAUCAACCAUAUGCUUCUCAAAGUGUGUAUUGCAUUGAUACUUAAAUUAA
Molecule: long non-coding RNA, 1306 nt
Filed under: Cicer arietinum (chickpea)
Lineage: Eukaryota; Viridiplantae; Streptophyta; Magnoliopsida; Fabales; Fabaceae
Description: long non-coding RNA (CARI_LNC000156)
Source: RNAcentral